AUACGGAGGGUCCAAGCGUUAUCCGGAAUCAUUGGGUUUAAAGGGUGCGCAGGCGGUUUAUUAAGUCAGUGGUGAAAUCUCGAGGCUCAACCUCGAAACUGCCAUUGAUACUGAUAAACUUGAGUUCAGUUGGAGUAGGCGGAAUGUGUAGUGUAGCGGUGAAAUGCUUAGAUAUUACACAGAACACCGAUAGCGAAGGCAGCUUACUAAACUGAUACUGACGCUGAGGCACGAAAGCGUGGGGAGCGAACAGGAUUAGAAACCCUUGUAGUCC
RNAcentral lists this ribosomal RNA (274 nucleotides) under uncultured bacterium. RNAcentral's name for it is "partial 16S ribosomal RNA". It matches the Rfam family "Bacterial small subunit ribosomal RNA", at positions 523 to 796 of the family's 1533-position model. The record is from RNAcentral.